This 283-nucleotide unclassified non-coding RNA is filed under the name Ascomycota sp. Its description in RNAcentral is "partial contains small subunit ribosomal RNA, internal transcribed spacer 1, and 5.8S ribosomal RNA". The stretch from base 1 to 47 matches the Rfam family "Eukaryotic small subunit ribosomal RNA", at positions 1785 to 1831 of the family's 1831-position model. The record is from RNAcentral. Lineage: Eukaryota; Fungi; Ascomycota.
AAAGUCGUAACAAGGUUUCCGUAGGUGAACCUGCGGAAGGAUCAUUACAGUGCCUUUGGAGAGCGUGCACCCCCUAAAGGUGUCCGCUCCCGAACGCCCACCCAUGUUUACUUGACCAUUGUUGCCUUGGUGGGCCCGCUGCCUAGGCGGCCGCCGGGGGACGCUUAACGGCAACCCCGGGCCCGCGCCCACCACAGGACCCUUUGAACCCUAUUAUGAAAAUGACUGUCUGAGUGAUUAUUUUAAUUAAAUAAAACUUUCAACAACGGAUCUCUUGGUUCCG